This 497-nucleotide ribosomal RNA is filed under the name uncultured bacterium. Its description in RNAcentral is "partial 16S ribosomal RNA". It matches the Rfam family "Bacterial small subunit ribosomal RNA", at positions 28 to 507 of the family's 1533-position model. The record is from RNAcentral.
GAUGAACGCUGGCGGCGUGCCUAAUACAUGCAAGUCGAGCGAACAGAUGAGGAGCUUGCUCCUCUGACGUUAGCGGCGGACGGGUGAGUAACACGUGGAUAACCUACCUAUAAGACUGGGAUAACUUCGGGAACCCGGAGCUAAUACCGGAUAAUAUAUUGAACCGCAUGGUUCAAUAGUGAAAGACGGUUUUGCUGUCACUUAUAGAUGGAUCCGCGCCGCAUUAGCUAGUUGGUAAGGUAACGGCUUACCAAGGCAACGAUGCGUAGCCGACCUGAGAGGGUGAUCGGCCACACUGGAACUGAGACACGGUCCAGACUCCUACGGGAGGCAGCAGUAGGGAAUCUUCCGCAAUGGGCGAAAGCCUGACGGAGCAACGCCGCGUGAGUGAUGAAGGUCUUCGGAUCGUAAAACUCUGUUAUUAGGGAAGAACAAAUGUGUAAGUAACUAUGCACGUCUUGACGGUACCUAAUCAGAAAGCCACGGCUAACUACGUG